AACGAACGCUGGCGGCGCGCCUAAUACAUGCAAGUCGAGCGAGAAGACGUAGCAAUACGUUUGUAAAGCGGCGAACGGGUGAGGAAUACAUGGGUAACCUACCCUCGAGUGGGGAAUAACUAGCCGAAAGGUUAGCUAAUACCGCGUACGCUCCUUGGACUUCGGUUCAGGGAGGAAAGCGAUACCGAGGGUAUCGCGCUCUUGGAUGGGCUCAUGUCCUAUCAGCUUGUUGGUGAGGUAACGGCUCACCAAGGCUUCGACGGGUAGCUGGUCUGAGAGGACGAUCAGCCACACUGGCACUGCGACACGGGCCAGACUCCUACGGGAGGCAGCAGUAAGGAAUAUUGCGCAAUGGGCGAAAGCCUGACGCAGCGACGCCGCGUGGGGGA
RNAcentral lists this ribosomal RNA (389 nucleotides) under uncultured bacterium. RNAcentral's name for it is "bacterial SSU rRNA". It matches the Rfam family "Bacterial small subunit ribosomal RNA", at positions 29 to 408 of the family's 1533-position model. The record is from RNAcentral.